CCCAACUAUCCCUAUUAAUCAUUACGGUGAUCCUAGAAACCAACAAAAUAGAACCAAACCGUCCUAUUCUAUUAUUCCAUGCUAAUGUAUUCAGACGUUAGCCUGCUUUAAACACUCUAAUUUUUUCAAAGUAACAGUCCUGAUUCCCCACCACACCAAGUUAAUGACAUGAUGAUUCCUCAGAAGGUAGGAAUUCAAUACACCAGUACAGACAGUUAAGCCUGACCAAUGAAUAAAUUCCGAAGUUCAACUACGAGCUUUUUAACUGCAACAACUUUAAUAUACGCUAUUGGAGCUGGAAUUACCGCGGCUGCUGGCACCAGACUUGCCCUCCAA
This 336-nucleotide unclassified non-coding RNA is filed under the name uncultured Diversisporaceae. Its description in RNAcentral is "sequence contains 18S rRNA gene". Lineage: Eukaryota; Fungi; Glomeromycota; Glomeromycetes; Diversisporales. The record is from RNAcentral.